This 423-nucleotide ribosomal RNA is filed under the name Entomoneis sp. RNAcentral's name for it is "SSU rRNA". It matches the Rfam family "Eukaryotic small subunit ribosomal RNA", at positions 605 to 1048 of the family's 1831-position model. The record is from RNAcentral. Lineage: Eukaryota; Bacillariophyta; Bacillariophyceae; Surirellales; Surirellaceae.
UAAAGUUGUUGCAGUUAAAAGCUCGUAGUUGGACUUGUGCGCGUCCCCGAUGUCCUUUUUGGUACGUUUGGGGAUGUGCAUCCUUGGGUGGAACCUGUGUGGCAUUAGGUUGUCGUGCAGGGGAUGCUCAUCGUUUACUGUGAAAAAAUUAGAGUGUUCAAAGCAGGCUUAUGCCGUUGAAUAUAUUAGCAUGGAAUAAUAAGAUAGGACCUUGGUACUAUUUUGUUGGUUUGCGCACCGAGGUAAUGAUUAACAGGGACGGUUGGGGGUAUUCGUAUUCCAUUGUCAGAGGUGAAAUUCUUGGAUUUUUGGAAGACGAACUACUGCGAAAGCAUUUACCAAGGAUGUUUUCAUUAAUCAAGAACGAAAGUUAGGGGAUCGAAGAUGAUUAGAUACCAUCGUAGUCGUCAUAGCUGUUUCCUG